GUGGGGAAUAUUGGGCAAUGGGCGAAAGCCUGACCCAGCAACGCCGCGUGAAGGAAGAAGGCCUUCGGGUUGUAAACUUCUUUUAAGAGGGACGAAGGACGUGACGGUACCUCUUGAAUAAGCCACGGCUAACUACGUGCCAGCAGCCGCGGUAAUACGUAGGUGGCGAGCGUUAUCCGGAUUUACUGGGUGUAAAGGGCGCGUAGGCGGGAAUGCAAGUCAGAUGUGAAAUCUAGGGGCUUAACCCCUAAACUGCAUUUGAAACUGUAUUUCUUGAGUGUCGGAGAGGUUGACGGAAUUCCUAGUGUAGCGGUGAAAUGCGUAGAUAUUAGGAGGAACACCAGUGGCGAAGGCGGUCAACUGGACGAUAACUGACGCUGAGGCGCGAAAGCGUGGGGAGCAAACAGGAUUAGAAACCCUAGUAGUCC
RNAcentral lists this ribosomal RNA (428 nucleotides) under uncultured bacterium. RNAcentral describes it as "bacterial SSU rRNA". It matches the Rfam family "Bacterial small subunit ribosomal RNA", at positions 354 to 796 of the family's 1533-position model. The record is from RNAcentral.